UACGUAGGGGGCGAGCGUUAUCCGGAUUCACUGGGUGUAAAGGGAGCGUAGACGGCCAUGCAAGCCAGGGGUGAAAGCCCGGGGCCCAACCCCGGGACUGCCCUUGGAACUGCAUGGCUGGAGUGCGGGAGGGGCAGGCGGAAUUCCUGGUGUAGCGGUGAAAUGCGUAGAUAUCACGCAGAACUCCGAUUGCGAAGGCAGCAUACCGGCGCCCAACUGACGCUGAAGCACGAAAGCGUGGGUAUCGAACAGG
RNAcentral lists this ribosomal RNA (253 nucleotides) under uncultured Eubacteriales bacterium. RNAcentral describes it as "uncultured Clostridiales bacterium partial 16S ribosomal RNA". It matches the Rfam family "Bacterial small subunit ribosomal RNA", at positions 524 to 776 of the family's 1533-position model. The record is from RNAcentral. Lineage: Bacteria; Bacillati; Bacillota; Clostridia; Eubacteriales.